Molecule: ribosomal RNA, 263 nt
Filed under: Yarrowia lipolytica
Lineage: Eukaryota; Fungi; Ascomycota; Dipodascomycetes; Dipodascales
Description: partial 28S ribosomal RNA
Rfam family: Eukaryotic large subunit ribosomal RNA
Source: RNAcentral
CAUUUCACCUCCUUCAUCCGAGAUUACCCGCUGAACUUAAGCAUAUCAAUAAGCGGAGGAAAAGAAACCAACAGGGAUUGCCUCAGUAACGGCGAGUGAAGCGGCAAAAGCUCAAAUUUGAAACCCUCGGGAUUGUAAUUUGAAGAUUUGGCAUUGGAGAAAGCUAACCCAAGUUGCUUGGAAUAGUACGUCAUAGAGGGUGACAACCCCGUCUGGCUAACCGUUCUCCAUGUAUUGCCUUAUCAAAGAGUCGAGUUGUUUGG